ACACUAAGAUGCCCAGCUCCCAAUGGGAUCCAAACCCCAAAUAAAUCCAUUUUACUCUGUAUAAAGCUUAUACAGGGUAAACUCAUAAACUGUCCACCUUCUAUAACCCUGACAGAGAGAUAUGAGCAGCUGUUUGCUCCUCCAGGUAUUAAUUACUUACUCUGGAUUAAUUAAUAA
Long non-coding RNA from Chelonia mydas (Green sea turtle), 177 nucleotides. RefSeq lists it as uncharacterized. The transcript is spliced from 3 exons. The record is from RefSeq and is a predicted model, not a curated record. NCBI's taxonomy places the organism in Eukaryota, Metazoa, Chordata, Testudines, Cheloniidae.